CGGGGUGGCUCAGAUGGUUAGAGCGCCGGACUCAUAGCUCCGCUAUGAGUGCUGACCUCAGGGAUGAUGGGAAAUCCGGAGAUCGCGGGUUCGAGUCCCGCCCCCGGCACCA
Molecule: transfer RNA, 112 nt
Filed under: Candidatus Caldatribacterium californiense
Lineage: Bacteria; Pseudomonadati; Atribacterota; Atribacteria; Atribacterales; Candidatus Caldatribacteriaceae
Description: tRNA-OTHER
Rfam family: tRNA
About the family: Transfer RNA (tRNA) molecules are approximately 80 nucleotides in length. Their secondary structure includes four short double-helical elements and three loops (D, anti-codon, and T loops).
Source: RNAcentral